GAUGAACGCUGGCGGCGUGCCUAAUACAUGCAAGUCGAGCGAACAGACGAGGAGCUUGCUCCUCUGACGUUAGCGGCGGACGGGUGAGUAACACGUGGAUAACCUACCUAUAAGACUGGGAUAACUUCGGGAAACCGGAGCUAAUACCGGAUAAUAUAUUGAACCGCAUGGUUCAAUAGUGAAAGACGGUCUUGCUGUCACUUAUAGAUGGAUCCGCGCCGCAUUAGCUAGUUGGUAAGGUAACGGCUUACCAAGGCAACGAUGCGUAGCCGACCUGAGAGGGUGAUCGGCCACACUGGAACUGAGACACGGUCCAGACUCCUACGGGAGGCAGCAGUAGGGAAUCUUCCGCAAUGGGCGAAAGCCUGACGGAGCAACGCCGCGUGAGUGAUGAAGGUCUUCGGAUCGUAAAACUCUGUUAUUAGGGAAGAACAUAUGUGUAAGUAACUGUGCACGUCUUGACGGUACCUAAUCAGAAAGCCACGGCUAACUACGUG
Molecule: ribosomal RNA, 497 nt
Filed under: uncultured bacterium
Lineage: Bacteria
Description: partial 16S ribosomal RNA
Rfam family: Bacterial small subunit ribosomal RNA
Source: RNAcentral